GCUCUAUCUGUGAAGAACCACCUGCAAGUAACCCAUCCCACCGCCAUCUUCUCCGGCGUCGUUCCCGCAGCCUAACACCAUCACCCCUGCUAUCACUUUCAACUCGUCGCCUUUUCUUCUUUUCUGUGGACUAAUUCAAAAUCCACCACCACCACCACCAUUCGUUUUAACUCCACAACAACCAUCAGUCCAUCACCGUUACCUUUCUUCUCCACAGAUCUGUGGUGGCGGUGGUUUCAGGUGGUCGCGAACCAUUUACAGGGGGCGGUGGUCUUAGGAGUUCGGGAACCAUUUACAGAGAGACACUUAGAUCCACCGGAGACGAAUGGCCGGAAAGUAGUUUCAGAAGGUCUGGAACCAUUCCUAGGGGCGGUGACUGCCGGAAAGUGAAUUUUGAAAGUGACGAAUGGCCGAAAAGUCGAUUCAAGUAUUUGGGUUUUGAAUUUCUUCUGCAUUUAUGGAAGCUGGAGAGGCUCCGUUGAUGCUGAGUAUAUGAAACUUCAUAUUGGUAUUGGUGGUAGUGGCGGAUCUAGGAUUCCGACCAAGCGGGAACGUUUUAUAAAUAGGCGGUAACGAAAUCGAAAAAACGUCAAAUUUUUCCAAAAUUUAC
Molecule: long non-coding RNA, 610 nt
Filed under: Helianthus annuus (common sunflower)
Lineage: Eukaryota; Viridiplantae; Streptophyta; Magnoliopsida; Asterales; Asteraceae
Description: sRNA HanXRQr2_Chr13g0581841
Source: RNAcentral